UGGGCAACCUGCCCUCAGCACUGGGAUAACCCCGGGAAACCGGGGCUAAUACCGGAUACGACCUCGGCGGGCAUCCGCUGAGGUGGAAAGUGUCAGUGGCUGAGGAUGGGCCCGCGGCCUAUCAGCUUGUUGGUGGGGUAAUGGCUCACCAAGGCGACGACGGGUAGCCGGCCUGAGAGGACGACCAGCCACACUGGAACUGAGAUACGGUCUAGACUCCUACGGGAGGCA
This 231-nucleotide ribosomal RNA is filed under the name uncultured bacterium. Its description in RNAcentral is "partial 16S ribosomal RNA". It matches the Rfam family "Bacterial small subunit ribosomal RNA", at positions 118 to 350 of the family's 1533-position model. The record is from RNAcentral.